This is a long non-coding RNA of Cyprinus carpio carpio, 606 nucleotides long. The record is from Ensembl. NCBI's taxonomy places the organism in Eukaryota, Metazoa, Chordata, Actinopteri, Cypriniformes, Cyprinidae.
AUGGGCUAUGGCCGGGAAGAGGUCAGGGAGCAAGGGGGCCACGGGGAUCCGGGGCGUGGGACUCGGGCCCCGGCCUGAGUCUUAGGUAUCCGUAGCGCCCUCCUUCUUCCUCCUCUUCGCUGAAUACAGCUCACGGUAAGUACUGGUUCACACAGUUCGUUCUCGGGGUGCUCACUCUCUUUCUCUUCCUCCACAGGCAACGGCUGGGACACACAGGCACAGUUAGUUCAGCUUGGUUUUGCUCUCACCUCUUCGCUGAUUACAGCUCACAGUAUCAACUUGGGCACAAUAGCACAGUUAGUUUGCUUUGAAUGGCUCUCACCUCUGGGCUGAACACAGCGUACUGUAAGUACAGGUUUCCUCUGUUUCUCCUUGUGUUACUCACUCUCUCUUUCCUUUCCUCUCCACAGGUAUCAACUUGGGCACAAUAGCACAGUUAGUUUGCUUUGAAUGGCUCUCACCUCUGGGCUGGACACAGCGUACUGUAAGUACAGGGUUCGCUCUAUUCCUCCUCGUGUUAUUCACUCUCUCUCCUUUUCUCUCCACAGGUAUCAACUUGGGCACAAUAGCACAGUUACUCUGCUUUGGAUGGCUUUCACCUCUGGG